This 253-nucleotide ribosomal RNA is filed under the name uncultured bacterium. Its description in RNAcentral is "partial 16S ribosomal RNA". It matches the Rfam family "Bacterial small subunit ribosomal RNA", at positions 524 to 776 of the family's 1533-position model. The record is from RNAcentral.
UACGAAGGGGGCUAGCGUUGCUCGGAAUCACUGGGCGUAAAGCGCUCGUAGGCGGAUUGUUAAGUCGGGGGUGAAAUCCUGGAGCUCAACUCCAGAACUGCCUUCGAUACUGGCAAUCUUGAGUCCGGGAGAGGUGAGUGGAACUCCGAGUGUAGAGGUGAAAUUCGUAGAUAUUCGGAAGAACACCAGUGGCGAAGGCGGCUCACUGGCCCGAUACUGACGCUGAGGCACGAAAGCGUGGGGAGCAAACAGG